GAGCAAUACCGCGUGAGGGAGGAAGGCUCUUGGGUCGUAAACCUCUUUUCUCAAGGAAGAAGAAAGUGACGGUACUUGAGGAAUAAGCAUCGGCUAACUCCGUGCCAGCAGCCGCGGUAAUACGGAGGAUGCAAGCGUUAUCCGGAAUGAUUGGGCGUAAAGGGUCUGCAGGUGGAACUGAAAGUCUGCUGUUAAAGAGUUUGGCUUAACCAAAUAAAAGCGGUGGAAACUACAGAACUAGAGUGCGGUAGGGGCAAAAGGAAUUCCUGGUGUAGCGGUGAAAUGCGUAGAUAUCAGGAAGAACACCGGUGGCGAAAGCGUUUUGCUAGACCGUAACUGACACUGAGGGACGAAAGCUAGGGGAGCGAAUGGGAUUAGAUACCCCAGUAGUCCUAGCCGUAAACGAUGGAUACUAGGCGUGGCUUGUAUCGACCCGAGCCGUGCCGGAGCUAACGCGUUAAGUAUCCCGCCUGGGGAGUACGCACGCAAGUGUGAAACUCAAAGGAAUUGACGGGGGCCCGCACAAGCGGUGGAGUAUGUGGUUUAAUUCGAUGCAACGCGAAGAACCUUACCAAGACUUGACAUCCUGCGAAUCCCGGUGAAAGCUGGGAGUGCCUUAGGGAGCGCAGAGACAGGUGGUGCAUGGCUGUCGUCAGCUCGUGUCGUGAGAUGUUGGGUUAAGUCCCGCAACGAGCGCAACCCUCGUUUUUAGUUGCCAGCAUUAAGUUGGGCACUCUAGAGAGACUGCCGGUGACAAACCGGAGGAAGGUGGGGAUGACGUCAAGUCAGCAUGCCCCUUACGUCUUGGGCUACACACGUACUACAAUGCUACGGACAGAGGGCAGCGAGCCAGGGAUGGCAAGCGAAUCCAGAAACCGUAGCUCAGUUCAGAUCGAAGGCUGCAACUCGCCUUCGUGAAGGAGGAAUC
RNAcentral lists this ribosomal RNA (928 nucleotides) under Raphidiopsis sp. UFMG183. RNAcentral's name for it is "bacterial SSU rRNA". It matches the Rfam family "Bacterial small subunit ribosomal RNA", at positions 389 to 1333 of the family's 1533-position model. Lineage: Bacteria; Bacillati; Cyanobacteriota; Cyanophyceae; Nostocales; Aphanizomenonaceae. The record is from RNAcentral.